Molecule: ribosomal RNA, 545 nt
Filed under: uncultured Bacteroidota bacterium
Lineage: Bacteria; Pseudomonadati; Bacteroidota
Description: bacterial SSU rRNA
Rfam family: Bacterial small subunit ribosomal RNA
Source: RNAcentral
CAGUCCUUCGGGAGCUGACGAGUUGCGAACGGGUGCGUAACGCGUAUGCAACCUACCUAUAACAGAGGGAUAGCCCAUAGAAAUGUGGAUUAAUACCUCAUAAUAUCUUAAGAUGGCAUCAUCUAAAGAUUAAAACUCCGGUGGUUAUAGAUGGGCAUGCGUGACAUUAGCUAGUUGGUGAGGUAACUGCUCACCAAGGCAACGAUGUCUAGGGGUUCUGAGAGGAUGAUCCCCCACACUGGUACUGAGACACGGACCAGACUCCUACGGGAGGCAGCAGUGAGGAAUAUUGCGCAAUGGAGGAAACUCUGACGCAGCCAUGCCGCGUGCAGGAAGACUGCCCUAUGGGUUGUAAACUGCUUUUAUAUAGGAAGAACUACAGAUACGUGUAUUUGUUUGACGGUACUAUACGAAUAAGGACCGGCUAACUCCGUGCCAGCAGCCGCGGUAAUACGGAGGGUCCAAGCGUUAUCCGGAUUUAUUGGGUUUAAAGGGUCCGUAGGCGGGUCAUUAAGUCAGUGGUGAAAUCCUACAGCUCAACUGUA